AGAACGAACGCUGGCGGCAUGCCUAAUACAUGCAAGUCGAACGAACACUUCGGUGUUAGUGGCGCACGGGUGCGUAACGCGUGGGAAUCUGCCCUUGGGUUCGGAAUAACAGUUGGAAACGACUGCUAAUACCGGAUGAUAUCGAAAGAUCAAAGAUUUAUCGCCCAGGGAUGAGCCCGCGUAGGAUUAGCUAGUUGGUGAGGUAAAGGCUCACCAAGGCGACGAUCCUUAGCUGGUCUGAGAGGAUGAUCAGCCACACUGGGACUGAGACACGGCCCAGACUCCUACGGGAGGCAGCAGUAGGGAAUAUGGACAAUGGGCGCAAGCCUGAUCCAGCAAUGCCGCGUGAGUGAUGAAGGCCUUAGGGUUGUAAAGCUCUUUACCCGAGAUGAUAAUGACAGUAUCGGAGAAUAAGCCCCGGCUAACUCCGUGCCAGCAGCCGC
This 443-nucleotide ribosomal RNA is filed under the name uncultured soil bacterium. RNAcentral describes it as "bacterial SSU rRNA". It matches the Rfam family "Bacterial small subunit ribosomal RNA", at positions 26 to 518 of the family's 1533-position model. The record is from RNAcentral.